This 339-nucleotide ribosomal RNA is filed under the name uncultured Pseudomonadota bacterium. RNAcentral's name for it is "bacterial SSU rRNA". It matches the Rfam family "Bacterial small subunit ribosomal RNA", at positions 29 to 351 of the family's 1533-position model. Lineage: Bacteria; Pseudomonadati; Pseudomonadota. The record is from RNAcentral.
AAUUAACGCUGGCGGCAUGCGUAACACAUGCAAGUCGUACGAGAAAGCCCGGUUCGCCGGGCGAGUAAAGUGGCGCACGGGUGAGUAACGCGUGGGUAAUCUACCUCGGUCUGGGGGAUAACGCACCGAAAGGUACGCUAAUACCGUAUAAUCCGACGGAUCACAGGGUCUGUCGGGAAAGGUGGCCUCUACAUGUAAGCUACCGAACCGAGAUGAGCCCGCGUCCUAUUAGCUAGUUGGUGAGGUAACGGCUUACCAAGGCAGCGAUGGUUAGCUGGUCUGAGAGGAUGAUCAGCCACACUGGAACUGACACACGGUCCAGACUCCUACGGGAGGCAG